RNAcentral lists this long non-coding RNA (304 nucleotides) under Gossypium raimondii (Peruvian cotton). Its description in RNAcentral is "long non-coding RNA (GRAI_LNC002289)". Lineage: Eukaryota; Viridiplantae; Streptophyta; Magnoliopsida; Malvales; Malvaceae. The record is from RNAcentral.
UCCGAAGCUGUCUCCUCCAGGAUCGACUCAGACCCUGCUUCCCCACUCUGCUCAGCUGUUCGCACCAGCCAACCACCGCCCCUUAGUUGAGCCCCAACCUGCUAUCCGAGAUUUCUGUAAAUAGUCCAACUAUAUGUAAAUUACUGAAAAUGAUGAACUCUUUAUUCUCAAAAGGUUAAAUUAGAUUCUUCUAGGCCGUUGACCAACCGUAAGCAUUGGGUUGUUACUGAAAUUCUCAAGAAAGCUAGAAUCUAUACACCCCCAUCGGUGGAUACUGCUGCAAAUGCAAGUGCCAAGAACGAAG